RNAcentral lists this ribosomal RNA (511 nucleotides) under uncultured bacterium. RNAcentral describes it as "partial 16S ribosomal RNA". The record is from RNAcentral.
GGAGUUAGCCGGUGCUUCUUCUGUGAGUGAUGUCCUUCCUGCCGGCUAUUAACCCGCAGGCCUUCUUCCUCACUGAAAGUGCUUUACAACCCGAAGGCCUUCUUCACACACGCGGCAUGGCUGGAUCAGGGUUGCCCCCAUUGUCCAAUAUUCCCCACUGCUGCCUCCCGUAGGAGUCUGGGCCGUGUCUCAGUCCCAGUGUGGCUGAUCAUCCUCUCAGACCAGCUACGGAUCGUCGCCUUGGUGAGCCGUUACCUCACCAACCAGCUAAUCCGACAUAGGCUCAUCCGAUAGCGCGAGGCCCGAAGGUCCCCCGCUUUCCCCCGUAGGGCGUAUGCGGUAUUAGCCUGGGUUUCCCCCAGGGUUUAUCCCCCGACUACCGGGCAGAUUCCUAUGCAUUACUCACCCGUCCGCCGCUCGCCACCAGGGAGCAAGCUCCCCGUGCUGCCGCUCGACUUGCAUGUGUUAGGCCUGCCGCCAGCGUUCAAUCUGAGCCAGAAUCGAACCCUGA